RNAcentral lists this small RNA (704 nucleotides) under Pongo abelii (Sumatran orangutan). RNAcentral describes it as "processed transcript". Lineage: Eukaryota; Metazoa; Chordata; Mammalia; Primates; Hominidae. The record is from RNAcentral.
CUUUUUGCCACCGCCCCCAACUUUCUACAUCCUUGCAGCCCCUACCUUUUCUUGUGUUGCUCCUCCCCUGGCAGCCGUGCGGGGGGUUAGAUCUCAGCCGGAGCGGGAGCUGGGCCUAGCUGUCCCCACGGGCCACCACUACCUCCUUUGGUUCGGGAGAAAGCUACGACUGAGUACUCCCAGCCGUCCCCGCUCGGGCCUUGGAACUUCUGAACGGGCAGUGCGGGUAGACCCUGCUUAGCCCUUCCCAGAGGACACCUGUGAGUUUAAGGGGUUUCGGAGAGGCCGUGUAGGCCCAGGUUGGGGGCGGGGCAUGGGAAACUUUUCCGAAACGGUAGCGUUUUGUUUUGCGUGGGAGGUUCCAGCAGUAUCUCUUGGUUAUUCCAAAUUUAUGGGCGGCAUCUGGGCUGCUGUACAUUUUGAAGAAUCUUAGGACCGCUUACUUUGCUUACUCGUUUUUCUUCCUCGCGUACUGCCUCGUCCACCACUCCAGGACCAAAAGAGGAAGAUAGUCUUGGGACCCCUGCAUGGUGUUUCAAAGGGUGGUGAAGAACUAAGGUAUAUCCUUUCUGAAGAGUCCUGGUGAAGGAAUUACAUAUAACCUUGAGUGUUCUCUCAUUUGCUGGAGGAGAGGUCAAGUUGAGGACACAAAUUCCAAGUUGCAAAUUCCAGGAUCAAAUACUUUAUCACGAGAAAUUACUAGG